This 893-nucleotide long non-coding RNA is filed under the name Sus scrofa (pig). RNAcentral's name for it is "lncRNA (ENSSSCG00035020796.1)". The record is from RNAcentral. Lineage: Eukaryota; Metazoa; Chordata; Mammalia; Artiodactyla; Suidae.
CCGACUCAAAGCAUCACAGAGCUCUAAUCUUUUUCUUCAGAAGUCUCCCCAUAUACAACAGAACAAAACCCCAAGUACUUAUUUUGGCAUUCAAGACCUUUUACAACUUGUCCUAAACUAUAUCCACUCUCCUCCACUCCAAAUUUCCACUACUUCAAGUCCUCUAUGCUCCAGUCACACUGAAUGGUAGCUCAAUAUUGCCCAAACAUGUGGGCAUAACCUUGCAUUGCAAUGUUCUUUCAUAACUAACUGCAUAUGCUAUUCUUCCCAGCUACGCUAUGAGCAUCACAAAGGAAGAGACAACAACUGAUUCAUCUUGUCCUUUCCAGAUCUAACCCUGGGACUGGUAUUAAGUGAGUAAUUAAAUAAAUGUUUGUUGAAUUGAAUUGAAUGUGCUUGGAAACCCUAGGGAAAAUCCUCCAGAAUCCUUCUGGGAUUGUAACUGUUCAGUGAAGAGUUACUUAGAAUUAGAAAUUAACCUUUUUUGAGGCUGUUCCUUAGAAGUAGAAAUUAACCUAUUUUGUUAAGAAAACAUUAGGAUGGAUACAUUGUCUCUUUCACUUGCUUUUGGAAAAUACCAGGAAAAAAAAAGAAUGCUGAAAUGUAGCAAAUAUUCUAAAGGUUUAUGGUAUUAUAAUUAGGGGGUGGGAGGAAAAAGGGGAGGUAAAGUAGGUGGUAUAAUAGAAAUUUUUGCAAUCUGGUCUUGAAGGAAAUGAGAAGAGCUAAAUCAGAUAUCCUGGACUUUCUAUGGACCUGCCUUCAAUGGAGGGAGGGCACUUCACAAUUGUUCAUCAGUUUUUGUCAAGAUAUUCUCAGGAGGUCUGAAUGAUUGCUAGUUUUGUUAUAUGUGCUGUUGCCUCAUGCAACCUAGUCCUAAGGUAGGAGACAGGAAC